This 199-nucleotide ribosomal RNA is filed under the name Staphylococcus aureus. RNAcentral describes it as "partial 23S ribosomal RNA". It matches the Rfam family "Bacterial large subunit ribosomal RNA", at positions 2238 to 2436 of the family's 2925-position model. Lineage: Bacteria; Bacillati; Bacillota; Bacilli; Caryophanales; Staphylococcaceae. The record is from RNAcentral.
AUCGUGGUGGGAGACAGUGUCAGGCGGGCAGUUUGACUGGGGCGGUCGCCUCCUAAAAGGUAACGGAGGCGCUCAAAGGUUCCCUCAGAAUGGUUGGAAAUCAUUCAUAGAGUGUAAAGGCAUAAGGGAGCUUGACUGCGAGACCUACAAGUCGAGCAGGGUCGAAAGACGGACUUAGUGAUCCGGUGGUUCCGCAUGG